GCCUGGAGCCAUCUCCUUCCAAACUGCGUUCUCAUCUGAUUGCAAAAGCUAAGCAGGUUGGGCCUGGUCAGCCCUUGGCUGGGAUUCCUCAAGGGAAAAAGAGGUGCUAGAAGAA
This 115-nucleotide ribosomal RNA is filed under the name Anas platyrhynchos platyrhynchos (common mallard). The record is from RNAcentral. Lineage: Eukaryota; Metazoa; Chordata; Aves; Anseriformes; Anatidae.